UACAGAGGUCCCGAGCGUUGUUCGGAUUCAUUGGGCGUAAAGGGUGCGUAGGCGGCGCUGUAAGUGGGGUGUGAAAUCCCGGGGCUUAACUCCGGAACUGCAUUCCAUACUGCGGUGCUUGAGGGCUGGAGAGGAGACUGGAAUUUACGGUGUAGCGGUGAAAUGCGUAGAGAUCGUAAGGAAGACCAGUGGCGAAGGCGGGUCUCUGGACAGUUCCUGACACUGAUGCACGAAGGCCAGGGGAGCAAACGGG
This 253-nucleotide ribosomal RNA is filed under the name uncultured bacterium. RNAcentral's name for it is "partial 16S ribosomal RNA". It matches the Rfam family "Bacterial small subunit ribosomal RNA", at positions 524 to 776 of the family's 1533-position model. The record is from RNAcentral.